Molecule: long non-coding RNA, 831 nt
Organism: Galeopterus variegatus (Sunda flying lemur)
Lineage: Eukaryota; Metazoa; Chordata; Mammalia; Dermoptera; Cynocephalidae
Exons: 2
Source: RefSeq, a predicted model, not a curated record
CCAGGUAGGACAAUUAAAACGGAAAUCUGGCUUCUUCCAGCACAGCAUGGAGCGGGCUACAGAAUUUGCUGCAGUGGGAGGUGGGGCCAGUCUGGCACAGUCUGUGGGUUUGAAAGGAGCUGGGCGGGUUGGGGAAUGCCAGUCAGCCUUUGUAGUUCUGAGCUCAGAGAAGGGGUGACAAAUACUGGGCUUCAGGUCAGAAGCCUGGCUUGAGUGGCUUUUAGAGAAAUCUCCCCCGUGCUCCCUAACUCUUAAAAUGUGCUCAUCACAUCACUGGCCUCCAAUCACAGCAUAAACACGUGUCCUGGAGGCCGUCCUCCAGCAGAGAUUUCGGCAGAGGUACCUGUUGGCUGACUAAUGGGGUCCUUUCCUUUUCCUAUUCCCUAGAAGCUGAAACUGGGCUGAAUUCAAUAUUUUUGCAUAUUUCCUUCUCCCUUCCCACAUGCUUGCAUCUCCCAGACCCCUAGGGUUAAUCCCCAGGACAACCUGCUUUGAAAGAAAAAAUGUGGUGAGCCUACUUGAAGAUUUGGAUCCCAGAGGCCUCUGUCUGUCCCGCCUCAGCCAGACCCAGACAGCCAGCUCAAGGAGAUGGACAUUUACAGAGAAAGCACAAAAAUAAAUAACACCCCCUUCUCCUCCUCGAGUGAUUCAUAAAAGCAAUUAAAUAGAAAGUGCUUCUUCAUCACUGCUCAUGUCCUGUGUUAAAGACAGCUAAGGGUGAUCUGUGUGUGACUAUUGUCAACACUGUAAUAUUUUGAAAUGUAUGUGCAUUUGUUAAAACAGUUUGUACUUAUGGUUCUUCUCCAGAAUAAAUACUAUAUAACUGGCUGA